This 595-nucleotide ribosomal RNA is filed under the name uncultured Bacteroidota bacterium. RNAcentral describes it as "bacterial SSU rRNA". It matches the Rfam family "Bacterial small subunit ribosomal RNA", at positions 122 to 715 of the family's 1533-position model. Lineage: Bacteria; Pseudomonadati; Bacteroidota. The record is from RNAcentral.
CAACCUACCUAUCAGAGGGGAAUAACCCGGCGAAAGUCGGACUAAUACCGCAUAAAACAGGGGCACCGCAUGGUGAUAUUUGUUAAAGAAAUUCGCUGAUAGAUGGGCAUGCGUUCCGUUAGGUAGUUGGUGAGGUAACGGCUCACCAAGCCGACGAUGGAUAGGGGAACUGAGAGGUUGGUCCCCCACACUGGUACUGAGACACGGACCAGACUCCUACGGGAGGCAGCAGUGAGGAAUAUUGGUCAAUGGGCGAGAGCCUGAACCAGCCAAGUCGCGUGAAGGAAGAAGGAUCUAUGGUUCGUAAACUUCUUUUGCAGGGGAAUAAAGUGCAGGACGUGUCCUGUUUUGUAUGUACCCUGAGAAUAAGGAUCGGCUAACUCCGUGCCAGCAGCCGCGGUAAUACGGAGGAUCCGAGCGUUAUCCGGAUUUAUUGGGUUUAAAGGGUGCGUAGGUGGUUUGAUAAGUCAGCGGUGAAAGUUUGCAGCUUAACUGUAAAAAUGCCGUUGAAACUGUCGGACUUGAGUGUAAAUGAGGUAGGCGGAAUGCGUGGUGUAGCGGUGAAAUGCAUAGAUAUCACGAAGAACUCCGAUUG